RNAcentral lists this unclassified non-coding RNA (238 nucleotides) under Hevea brasiliensis (rubber tree). Lineage: Eukaryota; Viridiplantae; Streptophyta; Magnoliopsida; Malpighiales; Euphorbiaceae. The record is from RNAcentral.
UGCCACUACCAGAUUUUCAACAUCUGAGAUCGGAUUGUAGAACCGCUGUUUUGAGAAUCCGCUAUCAACAACGUAGACAAUUCCCUCCAAAGUCAAAGAUGUCUCAGCAAUAUUGGUCGAUAUCACUACUUUCCUCUUCCCUCUAGGGGUGGGAGAAAACACCAGAUCCUGCUCCAUACGUGAGAGACCAGAGUACAAAGGCAGAACAAUCAAUCCUGAAGAGUUCUUUCCAUUGGCU